ACGCUGGCGGCACGCCUAACACAUGCAAGUCGAACGAAGUAGCAAUACUUAGUGGCAGACGGGUGAGUAACAUGUAGGUAUCUGCCCUUUGGCCUGGAAUAACACGAGGAAACUUGUGCUAAUACCGGAUAAGUCUUUACGGAGAAAGCUUUAUGCACCAUUGGAUGAGCCUGCACUUGAUUAGUUUGUUGGUGGGGUAAUGGCCUACCAAGACUGUGAUCAAUAGCUGAUUUGAGAGGAUGAUCAGCCACAUUGGGACUGAGACACGGCCCAAACUCCUACGGGAGGCAGCAGUGGGGAAUCUUGCACAAUGGAGGAAACUCUGAUGCAGCGAUGCCGCGUGAGUGAAGAAGGCCCUUGGGUUGUAAAGCUCUUUCGUCGGGGAAGAAAAUGACUGUACCCGAAUAAGAAGGUCCGGCUAACUUCGUGCCAGCAGCCGCGGUAAUACGAAGGGACCUAGCGUAGUUCGGAAUUACUGGGCUUAAAGAGUUCGUAGGUGGUUGAAAAAGUUGGUGGUGAAAUCCCAGAGCUUAACUCUGGAACUGCCAUCAAAACUUUUCAGCUAGAGUAUGAUAGAGGAAAGCAGAAUUUCUAGUGUAGAGGUGAAAUUCGUAGAUAUUAGAAAGAAUACCAAUUGCGAAGGCAGCUUUCUGGAUCAUUACUGACACUGAGGAACGAAAGCAUGGGUAGCGAAGAGGAUUAGAUACCCUCGUAGUCCAUGCCGUAAACGAUGUGUGUUAGACGUUGGAAAUUUAUUUUCAGUGUCGCAGGGAAACCGAUAAACACACCGCCUGGGGAGUACGACCGCAAGGUUAAAACUCAAAUGAAUUGACGGGGACCCGCACAAGUAGUGGAGCAUGUGGUUUAAUUCGAAGAUACGCGCAGAACCUUACCAACACUUGACAUGUUCGUCGCGACUCUAAGAGAUUAGAGUUUUCGGUUCGGCCGGACGAAACACAGGUGCUGCAUGGCUGUCGUCAGCUCGUGUCGUGAGAUGUUGGGUUAAGUCCCGCAACGAGCGCAACCCUCACUUUUAGUUGCCAUCAUUAAGUUGGGCACUCUGAAAGAACUGCCAGUGAUAAGCUGGAGGAAGGUGGGGAUGACGUCAAGUCCUCAUGGCCCUUACGUGUUGGGCUACACACGUGCUACAAUGGUAUCUACAACAGGAAGCAAGACUGCGAAGUUAAGCAAAUCCCUAAAAGAUACCUCAGUUCGGAUUGCACUCUGCAACUCGAGUGCAUGAAGCUGGAAUUACUAGUAAUCGUGGAUCAGCGUGCCACGGUGAAUGCGUUCCCGGGUCUUGUACACACCGC
This 1313-nucleotide ribosomal RNA is filed under the name uncultured Alphaproteobacteria bacterium. Its description in RNAcentral is "uncultured alpha proteobacterium 16S ribosomal RNA". It matches the Rfam family "Bacterial small subunit ribosomal RNA", at positions 33 to 1393 of the family's 1533-position model. The record is from RNAcentral. Lineage: Bacteria; Pseudomonadati; Pseudomonadota; Alphaproteobacteria.